This is a long non-coding RNA of Setaria italica (foxtail millet), 1457 nucleotides long. RefSeq lists it as uncharacterized. The record is from RefSeq and is a predicted model, not a curated record. The transcript has 3 exons. NCBI's taxonomy places the organism in Eukaryota, Viridiplantae, Streptophyta, Magnoliopsida, Poales, Poaceae.
UAAUGGACUAUCCUCUCAGAUUUGGCAUAUCCAGGACACUCUUACAAAAGCCGUGAGUGAACUCCAUAUGCAUCUUCUUUACUGCGGAACCACCUUUUGGGGGCUAUACAGUGCAGAUUCUGCCAUAACAAUGUGCACAUGUUUAUCUUCAGAUUUAUUGAAAAUGAUAUGAAUGGAAAAUCACGUAUUGGGGUAAUGCCUCGUUUUGGUGAUGCUGACUCCAUCAUAUGGUUUGAUGUUGAGAACCACUGCAGUUACCAUUUAUUUAAUUGCUUUGAGGAUGAAAAUGAGGUAAAUCCUAUAGAAUCUAAAUGUACCCCGACAGAUCUAGAUAAAAGGGAGUCAUAUGACACUAAACAUUCCAUAUGUAAUAAUAAUUUAUAUCAGGAAUUGUUCAUAUUUUCCUGUUUUAUGUACUUUGAUAAAAAGCCUGUGAACAGGUUGUUGUGAGAGGCUGUCGGAUACUUGUUUCUAUUAUCCCUAGUGACCGUUAUAGAGCUGACAAGUCGAAAUGGUAUGGAAGGGCAUUUCUCCAACCUGAUAAGGAUUCAGAAGAUUUUGAUCCUUCACUAGAUGUCAUUCUUUUUUCUCACCCUUAUGAAUGGAGAUUAAAUUUGGAAAGUGGCACUACAAACGAAGGUUAUAUUACCAGUGAGAAAGUUGCAAUGGAUUUCCCUGUCAUCAAUGACAAAUUUAUAGGCAUUAGAAACAAGUAUGGAUAUGCUCAAGUUGUUGACUCAUUAGCAACAAGUAAAACAGGUAACAUACUUACUGUAGUAAUUUUUGAAAAAUCAUCUUCUUCUCAGUUGUUUUUGUUGUCCUUCUUGUUACACAAUCCAUGUUCAUGGCAUGUGUAAGGAUGCAGGCUUGUUUAAGUUUAAGAUGAUAGCAAAGCUGCACUUCGACAUGCCAGAUAAGGAAAACAAGCAAUUUAUCUCAGUGCAGUACCAUGACUUAAAAGAGGAACAGUUCUGCUCUGGAGUUCAAUUUGUUGCAAGGGAAAGCGGAAUCGAUGAAGAUGAUGGAUGGGUAGUUACAUAUGUCCAUGAAGAGGGAACAAACAUCUCUCAGGUCUACAUUAUUGACGCAAAAAGAUUUUCAGAGGAGCCAGUAGCAAAAAUUACUUUACCUCAAAGGGUUCCAUAUGGUUUCCAUGGGAAUUUCUUCUAUAAGUAUUGCAAAUGAACUGUAGCAAGCCAUACGCUAUUUGAAAUAAAGGAUAUAAUUUUCAUGGCUCACGCCUUCGUGUACUGUUCAAUCAGUUAUUGACAUGUUUGCACCAAUGUUUUUUUAGCAACAAUUCAAGAAUGGCAGUUUAGAGGAGUGUGCAUCUGGUGGGUUAAGGAAUAGGAUUAUAGGAGUAGGACUUUGUUUUCUGUCCUUGUACCUUGUUUUGCAAUACAUUUCGGAUGGCAUAUGUUAUGAUGAAAAACUAGGUGUAUUUUGUCAUUCUCCAA